This 467-nucleotide ribosomal RNA is filed under the name uncultured bacterium. Its description in RNAcentral is "partial 16S ribosomal RNA". It matches the Rfam family "Bacterial small subunit ribosomal RNA", at positions 28 to 506 of the family's 1533-position model. The record is from RNAcentral.
GAUGAACGCUGGCGGCGUGCUUAACACAUGCAAGUCGAACGGUGAAGGCGGAGCUUGCUCUGCUGGAUCAGUGGCGAACGGGUGAGUAACACGUGAGCAAUCUGCCCCUGACUCUGGGAUAAGCGCUGGAAACGGCGUCUAAUACUGGAUACGAGCUGCGAAGGCAUCUUCAGCAGCUGGAAAGAAUUUCGGUCAGGGAUGAGCUCGCGGCCUAUCAGCUUGUUGGUGAGGUAAUGGCUCACCAAGGCGUCGACGGGUAGCCGGCCUGAGAGGGUGACCGGCCACACUGGGACUGAGACACGGCCCAGACUCCUACGGGAGGCAGCAGUGGGGAAUAUUGCACAAUGGGCGAAAGCCUGAUGCAGCAACGCCGCGUGAGGGACGACGGCCUUCGGGUUGUAAACCGCUUUUAGCAGGGAAGAAGCGAAAGUGACGGUACCUGCAGAAAAAGCGCCGGCUAACUACGU